GGGCACAUAGCUCAGCUGGUUAGAGUGCUGCCCUCACAUGGCAGAGGUCGAAGGUUCGAGCCCUUCUGUGCCCA
RNAcentral lists this transfer RNA (74 nucleotides) under Candidatus Omnitrophota bacterium. RNAcentral describes it as "tRNA-Val". It matches the Rfam family "tRNA". Rfam says of the family: Transfer RNA (tRNA) molecules are approximately 80 nucleotides in length. Their secondary structure includes four short double-helical elements and three loops (D, anti-codon, and T loops). Lineage: Bacteria; Pseudomonadati; Candidatus Omnitrophota. The record is from RNAcentral.